GACGAACGCUGGCGGCGUGCUUAACACAUGCCAGUCGAACGCUGAAGCUCAGCUUUUGUUGGGUGGAUGAGUGGCGAACGGGUGAGUAACACGUGAGUAGCCUGCCCCCUUCUUUGGGAUAACGCCCGGAAACGGGUGCUAAUACUGGAUAUUCACUGGUCUUCGCAUGGGGGUUGGUGGAAAGGGUUUUUCUGGUGGGGGAUGGGCUCGCGGCCUAUCAGCUUGUUGGUGGGGUGAUGGCCUACCAAGGCUUUGACGGGUAGCCGGCCUGAGAGGGUGACCGGUCACAUUGGGACUGAGAUACGGCCCAGACUCCUACGGGAGGCAGCAGUGGGGAAUAUUGCACAAUGGGCGCAAGCCUGAUGCAGCGACGCCGCGUGAGGGAUGGAGGCCUUCGGGUUGUGAACCUCUUUCGCUCAUGGUCAAGCCGCAACAAUGGUUGUGGUGAGGGUAGUGGGUAAAGAAGCGCCGGCUAACUACGUG
Molecule: ribosomal RNA, 483 nt
Filed under: uncultured bacterium
Lineage: Bacteria
Description: partial 16S ribosomal RNA
Rfam family: Bacterial small subunit ribosomal RNA
Source: RNAcentral